GUGCCAGCCGCCGCGGUAAUACGUAGGGUGCAAGCGUUAAUCGGAAUUACUGGGCGUAAAGCGUGCGCAGGCGGUUUUGUAAGUCUGUUGUGAAAUCCCCGGGCUCAACCUGGGAAUGGCAAUGGAGACUGCAAGGCUAGAGUUUGGCAGAGGGGGGUAGAAUUCCACGUGUAGCAGUGAAAUGCGUAGAUAUGUGGAGGAACACCGAUGGCGAAGGCAGCCCCCUGGGUCAAAACUGACGCUCAUGCACGAAAGCGUGGGGAGCAAACAGGAUUAGAAACCCUGGUAGUCC
This 292-nucleotide ribosomal RNA is filed under the name uncultured bacterium. Its description in RNAcentral is "partial 16S ribosomal RNA". It matches the Rfam family "Bacterial small subunit ribosomal RNA", at positions 505 to 796 of the family's 1533-position model. The record is from RNAcentral.